This 251-nucleotide ribosomal RNA is filed under the name uncultured bacterium. Its description in RNAcentral is "partial 16S ribosomal RNA". It matches the Rfam family "Bacterial small subunit ribosomal RNA", at positions 524 to 776 of the family's 1533-position model. The record is from RNAcentral.
UACGUAGGGUGCAAGCGUUAAUCGGAAUUACUGGGCGUAAAGCGUGCGCAGGCGGUGAUGUAAGACAGGUGUGAAAUCCCCGGGCUUAACCUGGGAACUGCAUUGGUGACUGGCAGGCUUUGAGUGUGGCAGAGGGAGGUAGAAUUCCACGUGUAGCAGUGAAAUGCGUAGAGAUGUGGAGGAAUACCGAUGGCGAAGGCAGCCUCCUGGGCCAACACUGACGCUCAUGCACGAAGCGUGGGAGCAACAGG